GACCUACUCUCUCCGUUCUAAAUUAUUUGUCUAGAUACGGAGAUAUCUAGCACUAAAAUGAGUCUAGAUACAUUCGUAUCUAGAUAAAUCCAAAACAAGUAAUUCAGAACGGAGGGAGUAGCUU
Molecule: non-coding RNA, 124 nt
Organism: Triticum urartu
Lineage: Eukaryota; Viridiplantae; Streptophyta; Magnoliopsida; Poales; Poaceae
Source: Rfam